AACGGCUACCACAUCCAAGGAAGGCAGCAGGCGCGCAAAUUACCCACUCCCGGCACGGGGAGGUAGUGACGAAAAAUAACAAUACGGGACUCUUUUGAGACCCCGUAAUUGGAAUGAGUACACUCUAAAUCCUUUAACGAGGAUCUAUUGGAGGGCAAGUCUGGUGCCAGCAGCCGCGGUAAUUCCAGCUCCAAUAGCGUAUAUUAAAGUUGUUGCGGUUAAAAAGCUCGUAGUUGGAUCUCAGUUCCAGACGGGCGGUCCUCCUAACGGUGGUUACUGCCUGGCCUGAACAGCCAGCCGGUUUCCCUAGAUGAUCUUCACCGGUUGUCUUGGGUGACCGGCACGUUUACUUUGAAAAAAUUAGAGUGCUCAAAGCAGGCGUGUAGCCUGAAUAAUGGUGCAUGGAAUAAUGGAAUAGGACUUCGUUUCUAUUUUGUUGGUUUUCGGAACACGAGGUAAUGAUUAAGAGGGACAGACGGGGGCAUUCGUAUUGCGACGCUAGAGGUGAAAUUCUUGGACCGUCGCAAGACGAACUACUG
RNAcentral lists this ribosomal RNA (539 nucleotides) under Macrothelidae gen. 2 sp. 2 ZZY-2021a. RNAcentral's name for it is "SSU rRNA". It matches the Rfam family "Eukaryotic small subunit ribosomal RNA", at positions 402 to 945 of the family's 1831-position model. The record is from RNAcentral. Lineage: Eukaryota; Metazoa; Arthropoda; Arachnida; Araneae; Macrothelidae.